GACGAACGCUGGCGGCGUGCUUAACACAUGCAAGUCGAACGGCAGCACAGUGUGUAGCAAUACACAUGGGUGGCGAGUGGCGGACGGGUGAGGAAUACAUAGGAAUCUGCCUUGUAGUGGGGGAUAGUCCGGGGAAACCCGGUUUAAUACCGCAUACGAUCUAAGGAUGAAAGCGGGGGCUCGUAAGACCUCGCGCUAUUGGAGGAGCCUAUGUCGGAUUAGCUAGUUGGNGAGGUAAAGGCUCACCAAGGCGACGAUCCGUAGCUGGUCUGAGAGGACGACCAGCCACACCGGAACUGAGACAC
This 305-nucleotide ribosomal RNA is filed under the name uncultured bacterium. RNAcentral describes it as "bacterial SSU rRNA". It matches the Rfam family "Bacterial small subunit ribosomal RNA", at positions 28 to 327 of the family's 1533-position model. The record is from RNAcentral.